GGAAGGGGGACAGGUUUGUCCUGUUGAUCAUUUUAUCCCAAAUGAAGGGGAUAGAUCUGACCCAUCUGGAGACUGUGUCACUUUUGUCCGACUGAGCUCUCUUCGAAGCAUCUCUGGCCGCCCUCUUCGAAGCAUCUUCGAUCUCGCAUCACCAUCCCCUUCGAAGCAUCUCUGGCCGGGCUUGAUUUGAUAUUCAGGAGGAAGAAGCUUGAUUUUGGAGGCUUAAACUACCCUUCGAAGCAUCUCUGGCCGGGGGAAGAAGCUUGAUUUUGGAGGCUUAAACUACCCUUCGAAGCAUCUCUGGUCGGUGAGU
Molecule: long non-coding RNA, 313 nt
Organism: Ziziphus jujuba (common jujube)
Lineage: Eukaryota; Viridiplantae; Streptophyta; Magnoliopsida; Rosales; Rhamnaceae
Exons: 3
Source: RefSeq, a predicted model, not a curated record